RNAcentral lists this ribosomal RNA (547 nucleotides) under uncultured Nitrosomonas sp. RNAcentral describes it as "bacterial SSU rRNA". It matches the Rfam family "Bacterial small subunit ribosomal RNA", at positions 378 to 916 of the family's 1533-position model. The record is from RNAcentral. Lineage: Bacteria; Pseudomonadati; Pseudomonadota; Betaproteobacteria; Nitrosomonadales; Nitrosomonadaceae.
AAAGCCUGAUCCAGCCAUGCCGCGUGAGUGAAGAAGGCCUUCGGGUUGUAAAGCUCUUUUAGUCGGAAAGAAAGAGUUGCAAUGAAUAAUUGUGAUUUAUGACGGUACCGACAGAAAAAGCACCGGCUAACUACGUGCCAGCAGCCGCGGUAAUACGUAGGGUGCGAGCGUUAAUCGGAAUUACUGGGCGUAAAGGGUGCGCAGGCGGUCUUGCAAGUCAGAUGUGAAAGCCCCGGGCUUAACCUGGGAAUUGCGUUUGAAACUACAAGGCUAGAGUGCAGCAGAGGGGAGUGGAAUUCCAUGUGUAGCAGUGAAAUGCGUAGAGAUGUGGAAGAACACCGAUGGCGAAGGCAGCUCCCUGGGUUGACACUGACGCUCAUGCACGAAAGCGCGGGGAGCAAACAGGAUUAGAUACCCUGGUAGUCCACGCCCUAAACGAUGUCAACUAGUUGUCGGAUCUAAUUAAGGAUUUGGUAACGUAGCUAACGCGUGAAGUUGACCGCCUGGGGAGUACGGUCGCAAGAUUAAAACUCAAAGGAAUUGACGG